RNAcentral lists this ribosomal RNA (387 nucleotides) under uncultured bacterium. RNAcentral's name for it is "bacterial SSU rRNA". It matches the Rfam family "Bacterial small subunit ribosomal RNA", at positions 30 to 417 of the family's 1533-position model. The record is from RNAcentral.
AUUGAACGCUGGCGGCAAGCCUAACACAUGCAAGUCGAACGGUAGCAGGUCCUUCGGGAUGCUGACGAGUGGCGGACGGGUGAGUAACGCGUAGGAAUCUACCCAGUAGCGGGGGAUAGCCCGGGGAAACUCGGAUUAAUACCGCAUACGCCCUAAGGGGGAAAGCAGGGGAUCUUCGGACCUUGCACUAUUGGAAGAGCCUGCGUUGGAUUAGCUAGUUGGUAGGGUAAAGGCCUACCAAGGCGACGAUCCAUAGCUGGUCUGAGAGGAUGAUCAGCCACACUGGGACUGAGACACGGCCCAGACUCCUACGGGAGGCAGCAGUGGGGAAUAUUGGGCAAUGGGCGCAAGCCUGACCCAGCUAUGCCGCGUGUGUGAAGAAGGCCU